GCCGUGAGCUCAAAAUGAAAGUCAAUGCGAUCUAGUGUUCUUCAAUUUGGUGUUUCACAGAAGAAAAGUUUGGAAGUACAUAAGGGUGAGUAAUUGAAAACUGAAUUUUCAUUUUCAUGUGAACUACCCUUCAAGAGGAAGAGACUGAGCAAAAAAAAAAAAAAUAGCAGUAAUAGCAAAUCUCCGCCUCUUGCGAGGGUGUAAUGUGUAACAUUCAAAUAAAAGCCCGAGAUCGACUCUGCUGUUCACAUUUACAUCCCAGAGAAUCGACAGACGCAGAGAACAAUCAUCUGUGGCAAACGUGACCUGAGUAUGGCUUCCAAAACUCAAAUACUACUACUGCUGCUAGUGGCUGUAAUGAUUGCAAGCUAUGGUCUAACCAAUGCAGCCACAGCCAACAGCACCGCUGGAUCUCUUUCUCCUGUGGGGAUGGUGGGUCUGCCUGGUCUUCUGAUCUACACGCUCACCUCCGCUGCGCUUCUCAAACUCUUCCAGCUCAUCUGAUCAUCAUGAUCAUCGUCUCCCUCAGUCUGUCACACAGCUAAACCUACGGGAUGUGCCUGUGACUGUGUCCGUUUUUAGCAGAUUGUGUCAAUUACUUAUUGUUUUGCAGAUACUUACUGCUCUGAUAAAAUGUAUAAUAAUAUAAAAAUAAAAAUUUAGAAAAAAUAUAUAUAUGAUUGUAUAUGAAGACUUAAGAAUAAAGAAGGAAAAAACA
Long non-coding RNA from Megalobrama amblycephala (Wuchang bream), 718 nucleotides. RefSeq lists it as uncharacterized. The record is from RefSeq and is a predicted model, not a curated record. NCBI's taxonomy places the organism in Eukaryota, Metazoa, Chordata, Actinopteri, Cypriniformes, Xenocyprididae. The transcript is spliced from 3 exons.